GACGAACGCUGGCGGCGUGCUUAACACAUGCAAGUCGAACGGAAAGGCCCUGCUUUUGUGGGGUGCUCGAGUGGCGAACGGGUGAGUAACACGUGAGUAACCUGCCCUUGACUUUGGGAUAACUUCAGGAAACUGGGGCUAAUACCGGAUAGGAGCUCCUGCUGCAUGGUGGGGGUUGGAAAGUUUCGGCGGUUGGGGAUGGACUCGCGGCUUAUCGGCUUGUUGGUGGGGUAGUGGCUUACCAAGGCUUUGACGGGUAGCCGGCCUGGGAGGGUGAACGGCGACAUUGGGACUGCGAGAGGGCCCAGAAUCCUACGGGAGGCAGCAGUGGGGAAUAUUGCACAGUGGGCGGAAGCCUGAUGCAGCAACGCCGCGUGCGGGAUGACGGCCUUCGGGUUGUAAACCGCUGUCGCCUGUGACGAAGCGUGAGUGACGGUAAUGGGUAAAGAAGCACCGGCUAACUACGUG
This 468-nucleotide ribosomal RNA is filed under the name uncultured bacterium. RNAcentral's name for it is "partial 16S ribosomal RNA". It matches the Rfam family "Bacterial small subunit ribosomal RNA", at positions 28 to 507 of the family's 1533-position model. The record is from RNAcentral.